Long non-coding RNA from Tachysurus vachellii, 2192 nucleotides. RefSeq lists it as uncharacterized. NCBI's taxonomy places the organism in Eukaryota, Metazoa, Chordata, Actinopteri, Siluriformes, Bagridae. The transcript has 2 exons. The record is from RefSeq and is a predicted model, not a curated record.
AAUUCCUUAUAAUCCCACAGCAUAUCAUUCACUUUCGAUAUGACUUUCAUUUCUCGUAAACCCUCUUUCCUUUCGUCUGUAAUAAUUACAGAUAACUCACCGGGAUUUCCCCACAACGUUAGUAUAAAUAGGCUACAACGUGUUCCCAUUCCCAUUGUCAGUGAACCAUGCGCUAUGGCACCAAUACGCACGCACGCACGCACGCACACACGCACGGCGGCUGGACAGAGUUUUAAUCUGAUUGUAUCUCAGCGAACCAGCGAAUAUCGACGGAUUCGUCGCUCAGGACUUCGAAGUACUUUUCUACGUCACUCUGGAUUAAGGAUUCUGCCAAAUGUCGUAAAUGUAAACUUAAAAGUGAUUUUUUUUAAGCCGUCCUAUGAGAUCCUGAUUCAAACCUCUCACACCUUCUCAGCCAGAUGUUUGUUAGAACAUACACACUUCAUGUAGCUCAGAAAUAAGAUCCUUCUGAUCUGUUCCUUCCCUUUGAUUCCUACUUAUUUUCUGAACACUGCAACUUUUACACGAGGGAAGGACGAGGUGAGGAACGCACGAGAGUAAAGCUUUUAAUCUGAAGACUCUUUUUAAAGAAAACAUCUGCACUUUUUUUUAUAGGUACACUGGUGAACAGACCUAUGGGAUGUUGUUGUGUCUGUGAGUCUGAUCUAAAAUGAGUCAGGAAUCUGAUGAAAUUCUACAAAUUCUUAAAGUCCUGAGUGUCUACUUUCAUAAGAGCUUCAUAUUAAAGACCAGCGUGGAGUGAGACGUGAGGAAGACGUUCAGUCAUCAACAUGAACGCGAGACAAACAGGAGGAAAUAAUAUAUUUUAAGAGUCUUGGAAACAUCUGUUUUGUUAUGUUGUCAAGGUUACACAAGGACACAAGGACAAGUGAGUGCAAUGAAGUCAUAAUUAGAUUAAUGAGAUUAAUUAAUGCAUAAUAAGAUUGUGUAUUUGUGUACGAACAGGAAGUGACUUGUGUACGUGAAUGUAAAGCUUUGUGAAAGAGAGAAAAACACAAACACAUAUGCACACACAAACACACACCCACACAAACACACACAAAUGCACACACAAAAACACAAACACACAGACAAACAUACACACACACAAACACACACAAAUGCACACACGAAAACACAAACACACAGACACACAAACACACACAAAUGCACACACGGAAACCCAAAGACACAUGCACACACAAACACACGCACACACACAUAUGCACACACACAAACACACACACACACAAACCCAAAGACACACGCACACACAAAUGCACACACAAACACACACCCACACAAACACACACAAACGCACAAACAAACACAUACAAACACACAGACACACACACAAAUGCACACACAAAAACACACACACAAAUGCAGACACACAGACACAAACACACAGACACACAAAUGCACACACGAAACACCCACACAAUGCAGACACACACAAACACACACACACAAACACACAGACACACACAAACACAAAUGCACACACGAGAACACCCACACAAAUGCAGACAAACACACAGACACACAAACACACACAAACACACACACUUUUACACACUGAUAGCUAAUACAAUGAGUUUUUUAUAGUUUGUGACAUAAAUAAAUGAGGACAGGGUGAAACGAGGCUGUGAGAGAAUCUCAUCAUCUCUUUUCUUUCAUUUGUUUAUUUUACAAAGAAUUCUGUAAACAUUAAGGACAGAUUUAGUCUUUUUCUUUUUUACUCUCCUGACAUGCUGAUAAAUUUCAGUCAUUUAACUCCUAAACAAAGGAGCGUUGUGUCUGAAAUUGUCUCGUCAUCUACUUUUCCAUCACGUGUUAAACUGUUAUGUGUGCUACUUAAAUCCAGGCUUCUUCUCCCACCGUUCUGUAUCAUCUCAAGUAGUAAAUAUUGGUGAAUGUUUCACUGUACUGAGAGUCUCGGAGACUCCGAUGCAGCUCGUGACGACAACCGCGAAGAGAGCAGGAGGUUUUAAUAGAGACAGAACUCAUCUUUGAGUUUAACAUCGUUUCAUCAACACUGAACCUUCUCUAAUAGCUGACAGAGCAGACGGAUGUUUGCUGAUGGAUGUUGCUUUGCGACAAACACACGGAUCGUAACGAGUUCCGAAAAUGAGUGAAAAGUGUAAAAGAACUGACUUAUAAGGACUUAAUAAACAGUAUGAACUCAGUGA